AUAUCAAUAAGCGGAGGAGAAGAAAUUAACUAAGAUUGCCUUAGUAACGGCGAGUGAAGCGGCAAGAGCCCAAAAUGGAAAUCUUGUACCUUCGGUACACGAAUUGUAAUCUAUAGGAUGUGUACUCACCGGACGGUGGCGCAGAAGUGUUCUCGAAUGGACCGCCAGAGAGGGUGAUAGCCCCGUAUGUGGUGCUACUGUCUAACGAGUAUGUGUCCCAAGAGUCGGGUUGUUUUGUAUUGCAGCCCUAAGUGGGAGAUAAACUUCUUCUAAGGCUAAAUAUAUAUGGGAGACCGAUAGCGCACAAGUA
Molecule: ribosomal RNA, 310 nt
Filed under: uncultured eukaryote
Lineage: Eukaryota
Description: partial large subunit ribosomal RNA
Rfam family: Eukaryotic large subunit ribosomal RNA
Source: RNAcentral